CCUACGGGUGGCUGCAGUGGGGAAUAUUGCACAAUGGGGGAAAGUCUGAUGCAGCGACGCCGCGUGAGUGAAGACGUAUUUCUGUACGUAAAGCUCUAUCAGCAGGGAAGAAAAUGACGGUACCUGACUUAGAAUCCCCGGCUAACUACGUGCCAGAAGCCGCGGUAAUACGUAGGGGGCAAGCGUUAUCCGGAUUUACUGGGGCUAAAGGGAGCGUAGACGGCAGCGGAAGUCUGGAGUGAAAUGCCAUGGCUUAACCAUGGAACUGCUUUGGAAACUGUGCAGCGAGAGUGCAGGAGAGGUAAGCGGAAUGUCUAGUGUAGCGGUGAAAUGCGUAGAUAUUAGGAGGAACACCAGUGGCGAAGGCGGCUUACUGGACUGUAACUGACGUUGAGGCUCGAAAGCGUGGGGAGCAAACAGGAUUAGAUACCCGGGUAGUC
Molecule: ribosomal RNA, 440 nt
Filed under: uncultured bacterium
Lineage: Bacteria
Description: partial 16S ribosomal RNA
Rfam family: Bacterial small subunit ribosomal RNA
Source: RNAcentral